RNAcentral lists this antisense RNA (508 nucleotides) under Planomonospora parontospora subsp. sphaerica. RNAcentral describes it as "Planomonospora sphaerica Saccharopolyspora sRNA 350". It matches the Rfam family "Saccharopolyspora sRNA 350". The record is from Rfam by way of RNAcentral. Lineage: Bacteria; Bacillati; Actinomycetota; Actinomycetes; Streptosporangiales; Streptosporangiaceae.
CUGACCGUGUGCUCCCAGGUCGCGUCCGCGCUCACCAGCGCCUGCUCCCCGAAGUAGUCGCCGUCGGCGAGCACCCCCAGCAGCGCCUCGCCGCCGUAGGGCCCCUCGCCCAGCUUGCCGACCUUGCCGUGGGCCAGCAGGAAGACCUCGUCCACCGGGGUGCCCGCCUCCGCGAUCACCUGGCCGGGGUCGUACUCCCGCUGGACGAACAGGUCCGCGAGGCUCGCCAGCACGUCGGCGUCGCCGUACCCGCGCAGUGCGGGGAGCUCGCACAGCUCGGCGGCGAUGACCCUGACCUGGGCGCCGGUGGAGACGAAGGUCACCCGGCCGUCGGCGAUCUGGUAGGUCAGCCGCCGGUUGACCCGGUAGGCGCCGCCGACGGCCUCCACCCACGGCAGCAGGCGCAGCAGGUGCCGCGAGGUGAUCGCCUGCAUCUGCGGCGGGGUCUUGGUCGUCGUGGCCAGGUUGCGCGCGGCCCGGGUGCCCAGGCUGAGGCGGUUCUCGUGGG